AGUCGAACGGAMCCUUCGGGUUAGUGGCGGACGGGUGAGUAACACGUGGGAACGUGCCUUUUGGUUCGGAAUAGCUCCUGGAAACGGGUGGUAAUGCCGAAUGUGCCCUUCGGGGGAAAGAUUUAUCGCCAUUAGAGCGGCCCGCGUCUGAUUAGCUAGUUGGUGAGGUAAAGGCUCACCAAGGCUACGAUCAGUAGCUGGUCUGAGAGGAUGACCAGCCACAUUGGGACUGAGACACGGCCCAAACUCCUACGGGAGGCAGCAGUGGGGAAUCUUGCGCAAUGGGCGAAAGCCUGACGCAGCCAUGCCGCGUGUAUGAUGAAGGUCUUAGGAUUGUAAAAUACUUUCACCGGUGAAGAUAAUGACUGUAGCCGGAGAAGAAGCCCCGGCUAACUUCGUGCCAGCAGCCGCGGUAAUACGAAGGGGGCUAGCGUUGCUCGGAAUUACUGGGCGUAAAGGGAGCGUAGGCGGACAUUUAAGUCAGGGGUGAAAUCCCAGAGCUCAACUCUGGAACUGCCUUUGAUACUGGGUGUCUUGAGUGUGAUAGAGGUAUGUGGAACUCCGAGUGUAGAGGUGAAAUUCGUAGAUAUU
RNAcentral lists this ribosomal RNA (591 nucleotides) under uncultured bacterium. Its description in RNAcentral is "bacterial SSU rRNA". It matches the Rfam family "Bacterial small subunit ribosomal RNA", at positions 60 to 698 of the family's 1533-position model. The record is from RNAcentral.